RNAcentral lists this ribosomal RNA (449 nucleotides) under uncultured bacterium. RNAcentral describes it as "partial 16S ribosomal RNA". It matches the Rfam family "Bacterial small subunit ribosomal RNA", at positions 355 to 792 of the family's 1533-position model. The record is from RNAcentral.
UGGGGAAUUUUGGACAAUGGGGGCAACCCUGAUCCAGCAAUGCCGCGUGUGUGAAGAAGGCCUUCGGGUUGUAAAGCACUUUUGUCCGGAAAGAAAACGCCGUGGUUAAUACCCGUGGCGGAUGACGGUACCGGAAGAAUAAGCACCGGCUAACUACGUGCCAGCAGCCGCGGUAAUACGUAGGGUGCAAGCGUUAAUCGGAAUUACUGGGCGUAAAGCGUGCGCAGGCGGUCCGCUAAGACAGAUGUGAAAUCCCCCGGGCUUAACCUGGGAACUGCAUUUGUGACUGGCGGGCUAGAGUAUGGCAGAGGGGGGUAGAAUUCCACGUGUAGCAGUGAAAUGCGUAGAGAUGUGGAGGAAUACCGAUGGCGAAGGCAGCCCCCUGGGCCAAUACUGACGCUCAUGCACGAAAAGCGUGGGGGAGCAAACAGGAUUCAGAUACCCUGGUA